This is a long non-coding RNA of Silurus meridionalis, 573 nucleotides long. RefSeq lists it as uncharacterized. The record is from RefSeq and is a predicted model, not a curated record. The transcript has 3 exons. NCBI's taxonomy places the organism in Eukaryota, Metazoa, Chordata, Actinopteri, Siluriformes, Siluridae.
UAUGAGCGCUCAUUAUUAAGUACAGCUGUGCGCGCUCACUUGAAGGUAUAGCAGUGCGUCUUAACGUUUUUUAGGGACUCAAGCAAAAAUUGCUGCACCCUGCGUAAGCAAAAUGGACUUCUCGCUGUCAGGAGAACCACAGAAGGGUCACAGGAAGUGCCCCUCUUUCCUGACCCCGCUGGUCAUGUGUGAACAGCAAUGGGUCAUCCUGCAGGAAACAGGAAGUGUCCUCGCACACCCUGUUCAUGCCUGACAUGUCAUCAGAAGAAAAAGGUUCUCCGGAGGAUAAAUCUGAAGCUAUUAAUUCAACUGGGGGAAAAAAAGAAAAGAAGGAACAACAUCACAAGGACGUUCGCCAAUGCCUUGAACCCUAACACACACGCGCACGCACACACAUGCCUGAAUUCACUGUCUUAUCAUUCAGCUCUUCUGGAAUGUAAGGAGGGAUCAUGAGCAGUAUCCAGGUCAAAGGUCAAGAUAGAAAUGCUCCUUUCUAGGAUUUCUUGCCCGUGUAAACAUGUGCGGUUAAUAUACAAUAUUAAAUAAUGCUGUCUUUAUGGCUAUUGUUUGCUC